UACGUAGGCAGCAAGCGUUGUUCGGAGUUACUGGGCGUAAAGGGCGUGUAGGCGGUCAGGUAAGUGGGAUGUGAAAUGCCCCGGCUCACCCGGGGACCGGCAUCCCAAACUGCCUGACUUGAGUAUGGGAGAGGAUGUGGGAAUUCCUGGUGUAGCGGUGAAAUGCGUAGAUAUCAGGAGGAACACCGGUGGCGAAGGCGCACAUCUGGCCCAAUACUGACGCUGAGGCGCGAAAGCUAGGGGAGCAAACGGG
Molecule: ribosomal RNA, 253 nt
Filed under: uncultured bacterium
Lineage: Bacteria
Description: partial 16S ribosomal RNA
Rfam family: Bacterial small subunit ribosomal RNA
Source: RNAcentral